UAAAGCUCCAUUAUCCCCCGCUCCCAAUACCUCAAAUGAUCCAGAACCCUUCCUCACUAAUAAGUACUUCUAUAAUCCUAUAGAACAUUUUAUGUUAAAACUAGUAACAAGAAGAAGAACUUCACUUAAAUGCAAGUGUAAGUCAGAAAGGACCUACCACUGACUUUUAUCAUACAUGCAAACAAAUUAAUAAAUUUUUCAAGAAAAACUUAAUUUUAACUAUGUUAAUCUAACACAAGAGCAUUUCAAGUACGAUUUAACGAAAAAGAAGGAACUCGGCAAAUAUUAACCUCGCCUGUUUACCAAAAACAUCGCCUCUUGACAAAAUAUAAGAGGUCCAGCCUGCCCAGUGACUUUGUUCAACGGCCGCGGUAUC
This 376-nucleotide ribosomal RNA is filed under the name Dryophytes cinereus (green tree frog). RNAcentral describes it as "partial 16S ribosomal RNA". The record is from RNAcentral. Lineage: Eukaryota; Metazoa; Chordata; Amphibia; Anura; Hylidae.